ACGGGAGGCAGCAGUGGGGGAUAUUGCACAAUGGGGGAAACCCUGAUGCAGCGACGCCGCGUGAGUGAUGAAGUAUUUCGGUAUGUAAAGCUCUAUCAGCAGGGAAGAAAAUGACGGUACCUGACUAAGAAGCACCGGCUAAAUACGUGCCAGCAGCCGCGGUAAUACGUAUGGUGCAAGCGUUAUCCGGAUUUACUGGGUGUAAAGGGAGCGUAGACGGAUGGCUAAGUCUGAUGUGAAAGGUGAGGGCUCAACCCUUAAACUGCAUUGGAAACUGGUCAUCUAGAGUGUCGGAGAGGUAAGUGGAAUUCCUAGUGUAGCGGUGAAAUGCGUAGAUAUUAGGAGGAACACCAGUGGCGAAGGCGGCUUACUGGACGAUAACUGACGUUGAGGCUCGAAAGCGUGGGGAGCAAACAGGAUUAGAUACCCUGGUA
RNAcentral lists this ribosomal RNA (434 nucleotides) under uncultured Lachnospiraceae bacterium. Its description in RNAcentral is "bacterial SSU rRNA". It matches the Rfam family "Bacterial small subunit ribosomal RNA", at positions 341 to 792 of the family's 1533-position model. The record is from RNAcentral. Lineage: Bacteria; Bacillati; Bacillota; Clostridia; Lachnospirales; Lachnospiraceae.